CAAAGCCUAAGGCAGAAACCAUACCUUGAUGUUCUCCUGCAGCCCUUUCCUGUUGGUCACCUCACAUGCAAACGUGGGGACCACUUGAGUGUAAGCCUUUUUAAAACAAAUAUAUCCUGAGUGCCUGCUUUGGCAGCACCUAUGGCCCCUACACGUGAGGAUGGGAGCAUGAGCACAUAUUCAGGAAGCGCUCCAUAUUUUUAAAAAAUAAUUUUGAAAUAAAUUUAGACUUUGAGUUUCAAAAACAGUUUCCACACACCCUUCACCCUUGUACCUCCCCUAAUUGAUCCUCUUACAUAACCAUGGUAUACUGAUCAGAACUGGGAAGUUAACACUGGCGUAAUAUGAUUAAAUAAACUCUAAGCCUUACCCACAUUUUAUGGGGUUUUCUGCUUGUAUUCUUUUUUUUUUUGUCCCAGGAUUCAAAAUGCUGCACUUCCUUAUUACGUGUCCUUGGUCUCUUCCAGACUGUCAGCAUCUCGGACUUUCCUGUCUCCUGGGACUCCGACAUUUUGAAGAGUAGAUUUGUUCCGCAGAAUGCCUCCUCAAUGGGUGCUACUUCAGGGUGAAUGAAGCUGGCAAGGGCAGUCUCUGCUGGGGCCUAUAGGCAGGGGGUCGCCUUCACCUCUCCAUCCGGUGUCUCUGCGCCACUGACCUAGGACCACAGACGUCUGUCCUCAGCCCCCAGCCUGCUGUUGUCGAGAAGCCUCACAGAUAACAUAAACAGUCCGUCGGCACGUGUGUUCUGUGUUCAGUGUAUUCCGUACUGAGUUCGUAGACCUGCAGUGGUUGACGGGUCAACUACAGAGAGCUUGCAGUGCACGAGAUCGACGUGUAGUGGUAAGUUGCCUUGGUAGAAAUGCAGAAGGGUUUUCUGUAGACAAGGUCCUGGCAUCUAUAUUCGUUGUACUUAUAUUCAUUUUACUUAUUCCUUUUUACUUAUAUUCCAUUGUACUUAUUCCUUUCCGGUUUGGACACCCUUUAUUUCUUUUUCUUGCCUAAUUGCUCUGGCUCAGACUUCCAGUUCUGUGUUGAAUAAAAGUGGCAGGAGUGGGCCUCCUUGCCAUGCUCUCGAUCUUCGA
This is a long non-coding RNA of Mustela erminea (ermine), 1082 nucleotides long. RefSeq lists it as uncharacterized. The record is from RefSeq and is a predicted model, not a curated record. The transcript is spliced from 3 exons. NCBI's taxonomy places the organism in Eukaryota, Metazoa, Chordata, Mammalia, Carnivora, Mustelidae.